AAUGAUUUUAGCAUUACCUAAAAGUAAAGGAAGUUGUGUGCCCUUUACUUUUCCCCCUUUCUCCCAAUUUCUUCCGCACUACAACCUAGUUUCAGGUCCUUGGUUCUCGCAUUCUUGGUGUCAUUGGCUAUCUCUGAGGUUAGGUUAGAAAAAAUCUGUUCGAAGUGGGAAUUUUGAAGUGGAGGCAUAUGUAGUACAUGGUUGUGAGGAGGCAAAGAACAAGUGGUGUUGUAGUUUGGGUGAAGGUCAAACUCUUUACCGUCAUUGCUCUAAAGGUCACUGUAUUGCUAAAUUCUAGUGGGUUGAGCUAAAUUCUAGCAUGGAGGUGAAAGAUCUAGUUGAAUCCUAAAGACAACUCUGAAAUUGAUUGCUUAUGGUGAUGUUGAUUGAGUUGAGUUUCUUAAUAUAGUCGACAAUCAAUCACUUGGUUAAUGCUUAUUCCUUGGCUUCUUUUUGAUCUCAAGAAAUAUUAAGAAGCAAGCAUGAAUUUAUAAAAGUUAUCGAACUAAAAAUAAAAAUAGAUGUCUGUGUGGUCACGCAAAUCUAGACAAUAGUUAAAAAAUCUUUGUCUAAUCUUUAUGCCAUAACUUUUACUGUUUUGACCGCCAUUUAUUUGCUGUGAAUGAAACCGUGAUGAAGCAUAUCUUCUCAACAAAAAUAAUUCAGCAAAAACAAGAAUGUCACAAAACACCGUGUGGAAGUCACAAGAAAUUGUAGGAAAACAAAACCAUAAUCCAAACAUACAUAUAGAUUUAAGAAGUGAGGAAAGGGUGACUUGUAUAUCCAAAUUGUAACGACAAUGAAUGAAUUGUUAUAUUAUUAAUGUGAGGUGAUGAAGAGGUAGAUUAAAGACAUGAGAAGUAGGAAAUGAAGAAUGAGUGAAGAGAUAAUUAAGGAGAAUUUGAAGAUGAAAAUUUGGUGUGAGAUUGGGUAAGUCUGGUGGCAUAGUACUUAGCAAUGAAAUCAGAGGCUUUUCUGUCAAUGCCUGGCUCUGCAACCCAUCGUCCUCUGUCUUCAUCACUUGCAAACAUUCUUCUUUCAUUUCCUCCUUCCCAGUACUCAUCAUAACUAUCUCCACAUGAGAAACAAGCCUUCAACACACUCCCAAAACAGCAACUCGAUGACCUCUUCCCUCCCAUUCUUUUCUCUUCUUCCAAUGAUCUAUGCCAAUCCUUCUUCCAUACUUUACCAUUUAUAGACUCACCACAUUAUCUCUUCUUUUAGGAAAAUAUAACAAAAAUUUAAAGCUACAGAUUCCCUCAAAUCACUCUUCUCAUCCUCUACUUUUUCUUUCUCACGCAAUACUUCUCCCCUACCCCUACCUGCAUCAUACAUGCUUUCUCAUUCUCAUCACUUACUUUGCCUAGAUUCCUUCUUUUUCCUUGUACACAUAAUGCCUACAGAAAUUAUAAUAAGCUUAUGCUUCUAAUUUUGCUCAAUCUUUGUGUAUGACUUUUCUUUGUCUUCUGAUAAGAUGUAAGAUAUUGAUCUGGAAGUUAUGCUAAAGCAAAGUAAUGUACUUUGAAUGGAAUUUAAUCCAACUAUCUUAUAACUUUAGAGCAUCUGUGAUUGGACAAAACAUACAUGUACAUUUGCUGUCUAACUAGACUUCAAAUUUUAUUCUGACAAUUAGAAAUAAAUUUUCCAUUAUUAUGAAUAACAAUCACAUCUCAUUAUCUCAUUAUUAAGUAAAAAGUUAUUUCUCAUCUCAUUGCUCUAACUAGAAAGUUACAUCUCAUAUUUUUUAAGAAAAUAUCAACUUAACAAGAAAAAAACACAUUCACGAAGUAUUACUGAUACCUGUCAUUAAUUCAUCUCUAAUUUUAGUAGCCUAACCAAUAUUAAAAACUAAUUUAGACUUCAAUUCAUAAAUCAAUUAUAAUUUUUUAUUCAUAAUAAAAACUAUUUUAAAUACUAAUAAUUUUUAUUUUAUAAAUUGAUAUCUAAAUUAAUCAUUAUAGAAAUUAAUUACUUUUUUUAUUGUGGUGUGCUUAUGAAUUAGAGAAAGUAAUAUGAUCGCACUACAGUAUCAGACUUUAGACAACUUAAGAUUUGACAAUCAUAAAAUAUUUUGGUCUAAAUAAGGAAAAGACAACACUUUUUUAAGCGUAGCUUUUGAUUAGAAACUUUAAUUGUUAUUUGUACCAAUUCUUUUAAAAAUUGUUACUUAUUAAUAAAGGCAACAUGUAAUAAAUUGUUACCCACCAUAACCAACAAUUUACAUACGAUGGAUACUUUAAAUUUCUAAACUUAAAUUAAAAUACAUGUGAAACUAUCUGAGUCUCUUAUUAUGAUGCCUUUAUUUCACUUAAACCAGGAUUCAUACCAUUUUAUUAAUGUAUUUGUUGUAUCUUGAAAUCGGUUCCUAUAUCAUAAGUUUUGUUUUUCUAAAUUAAAGGAGAAUUAUGAUGUUUUGAGAUUGAAGAUAGUCAGAAAUAUAAAUGUAUGUUUAUCUCAGUAUAUUUUUGCAGGGAAAGAGGCUCAUAAGGUGACAUGUUUUUUUUUUUGUGGUAAAGCUUAUUACCAUGCAUUCAUGCAAGAAUAAGAAUAUAAAAAAUAAGGGGAAAUUAUGAUGAAAUUACAUAUGCUCCACAAGCCUAUUGCCUUAUAUCUAGAAUAAUUAAACAAACUUCUCUGUUGGAAAGUCCCACGCUUGAUUCCAACAGAGAGUGCCCUCAAGCUGUCUUACCUUUCUCAGAACUUAAUUCUUAAGGGAUCCUAAAGCAAUUCAAUUUCCAUCAAAUACAAAAGCAGAACUUUUCUUUUUAUAUAUUCAUAUUUUGUCCUUAAUGUAACUAAUUUAAUCAUUUGCUAAAGGUCUUUCUAGGUUAUAAUAUCAUUUAUUUGUUGCAUCACUUUCUUUUGGCCCUUUAUUAAUUUUAGUUUGAGAAGUGCUAUAGAUACUAUGAUACAGCUACAUAAGCUAAUUCGGUUGAUUUGUGGUAUAUAUAAUCAGCAUGUGUAAUAUGUUAUACAUUUUCUAAGAUGUACCUUCCCCAUCAUAAUCUGUCAAAAGGAAACUCAAGAUUUGGUAAUCUCUGCAUACAUGUAAAUUAUAACUCAGGUUCUGCACACCUACUUUUUAGAUGCAAUUAUUUGCAUAUUAAAUAUAGCAAGAA
Molecule: long non-coding RNA, 3119 nt
Organism: Vigna angularis (adzuki bean)
Lineage: Eukaryota; Viridiplantae; Streptophyta; Magnoliopsida; Fabales; Fabaceae
Exons: 3
Source: RefSeq, a predicted model, not a curated record